Molecule: transfer RNA, 573 nt
Filed under: Phormidium irriguum f. minor SK-SIORAS-13
Lineage: Bacteria; Bacillati; Cyanobacteriota; Cyanophyceae; Oscillatoriales; Oscillatoriaceae
Description: partial 16S-23S ribosomal RNA intergenic spacer
Rfam family: tRNA (bases 285-357)
Source: RNAcentral
UUUUUAGGGAGACCUAAACCCAAUAUCUUGAGGAUGCAAUUAAGCCCAAGAGAUUGAGGUCAACCUAGGUCAGUCGAAGAAUCGUCGUAGCUUUCAAACGAUAAGAGGUUAGGAAUCCCAAUUUCUCAAAUCAGUUUGAGUGAUUGGGAAAAAGAGACCAACCUUGAAAUGGGCUAUUAGCUCAGGUGGUUAGAGCGCACCCCUGAUAAGGGUGAGGUCCCUGGUUCAAGUCCAGGAUGGCCCACCUAACUCCUUAGUGCUGCGAGAGCAGAAACUAAGAAAAUGGGGGUAUAGCUCAGUUGGUAGAGCGCCUGCUUUGCAAGCAGGAUGUCAGCGGUUCGAGUCCGCUUACCUCCAUGCUGGUCUCACCCCAACUCAAUCAUUCCUAACACCGACAAGAAAGCAAGGAUACCUCAGCACCUGAGAAAGACUCAGACUGCUGGGACAUCCCAGCCAGAACCUUGAAAACUGCAUAGUCAACCUAAAAAAAGUCAGGUGAAGUCGAGACCUCAAAAAAAUGAAGUCAAGCUACAAAGAGCUAACGGUGGAUACCUAAGCACACAGAGGCGAAGA